Molecule: ribosomal RNA, 513 nt
Filed under: uncultured soil bacterium
Lineage: Bacteria
Description: bacterial SSU rRNA
Rfam family: Bacterial small subunit ribosomal RNA
Source: RNAcentral
AGAAUGAACGCUGGCGGCGCGCCUAAUACAUGCAAGUCGAGCGAGAAGACGUAGCAAUACGUUUGUAAAGCGGCGAACGGGUGAGGAAUACAUGGGUAACCUACCCUUGAGUGGGGAAUAACUAGCCGAAAGGUUAGCUAAUACCGCGUACGCUUCUUGGACUUCGGUUCAGGGAGGAAAGCGAUGCCGAGGGUAUCGCGCUCUUGGAUGGGCUCAUGUCCUAUCAGCUUGUUGGUGAGGUAACGGCUCACCAAGGCUUCGACGGGUAGCUGGUCUGAGAGGACGAUCAGCCACACUGGCACUGCGACACGGGCCAGACUCCUACGGGAGGCAGCAGUAAGGAAUAUUGCGCAAUGGGCGAAAAGCCUGACGCAGCGACGCCGCGUGGGGGAUGAAGGUCUCGGAUUGGUAAACCCCUUUCGGGAGGAAGAUAGGAAUGGGUAACCCAGUUUCGGACGGUACCUCCGAGAAGCAGCCACGGCUAACUUCGUGCCAGCAGCCGCGGUAAAUCUA